GUUGUCAGGAGUAAGGGACAGGUGAUGUUGAGGUGUUGUCAGGUGAUGUUGAGGUGUUGUCAGGAGUAAGGGACAGGUGAUGUUGAGAUGUUGUCAGAAGUAAGAGACAGGUGAUGUUGAG
Molecule: long non-coding RNA, 121 nt
Organism: Mizuhopecten yessoensis (Yesso scallop)
Lineage: Eukaryota; Metazoa; Mollusca; Bivalvia; Pectinida; Pectinidae
Exons: 3
Source: RefSeq, a predicted model, not a curated record